UAGAGAUUUGGCGGGACACGUCGUCCUCUCCUGCGCCGCGAACGAGAGGCUGGAGGGCGACUGUCGCCGUGGUGGAGGAGAGGAAGGCGAGCUGCCACGCAGGGGAGCCCCCAAGAUGGAAGCGAGGCAGCCCAAGGCCGUCACCGAGGAGCACGAGGAGGGGCGCCGCCGCCAUGGAGGAGAGCGGCGAGGGGCUGCGCCGUGGCUGUAGAGGAGGGAGGAGAGCCACUGCACCGUGAGAUUCCACGUGAACCUCUCCAGAUGAAUCUGUAGUGAGUCCCCUGUUGUUCAUCUUUAGGCUAAACAUCUUCUGACAUUUUACUUUGGCUGAAAAUGUUCUUACUCCCUCAUCGUAUCAGCUAUACAAAUGCUCUAAAGCACUGCUUGACUGCUUAUUUUUUAUCUAAAUAAAAGUGCAAAUCUGCA
Molecule: ribosomal RNA, 426 nt
Filed under: Triticum aestivum (bread wheat)
Lineage: Eukaryota; Viridiplantae; Streptophyta; Magnoliopsida; Poales; Poaceae
Description: partial small subunit ribosomal RNA
Source: RNAcentral